This 497-nucleotide ribosomal RNA is filed under the name uncultured bacterium. Its description in RNAcentral is "partial 16S ribosomal RNA". It matches the Rfam family "Bacterial small subunit ribosomal RNA", at positions 28 to 507 of the family's 1533-position model. The record is from RNAcentral.
GACGAACGCUGGCGGCGUGCCUAAUACAUGCAAGUAGAACGCUGAAGAGAGGAGCUUGCUCUUCUUGGAUGAGUUGCGAACGGGUGAGUAACGCGUAGGUAACCUGCCUUGUAGCGGGGGAUAACUAUUGGAAACGAUAGCUAAUACCGCAUAACAAUGGAUGACACAUGUCAUUUAUUUGAAAGGGGCAAUUGCUCCACUACAAGAUGGACCUGCGUUGUAUUAGCUAGUAGGUGAGGUAAUGGCUCACCUAGGCGACGAUACAUAGCCGACCUGAGAGGGUGGACGGCCACACUGGGACUGAGACACGGCCCAGACUCCUACGGGAGGCAGCAGUAGGGGAUCUUCGGCAAUGGGGGCAACCCUGACCGAGCAACGCCGCGUGAGGGAAGAAGGUUUUCGGAUCGUAAAGCUCUGUUGUAAGUCAAGAACGGGUGUGAGAGUGGAAAGUUCACACUGUGACGGUAGCUUACCAGAAAGGGACGGCUAACUACGUG